RNAcentral lists this ribosomal RNA (494 nucleotides) under uncultured bacterium. RNAcentral describes it as "partial 16S ribosomal RNA". It matches the Rfam family "Bacterial small subunit ribosomal RNA", at positions 28 to 507 of the family's 1533-position model. The record is from RNAcentral.
GAUGAACGCUGGCGGCGUGCCUAAUACAUGCAAGUCGAGCGAACGGACGAGAAGCUUGCUUCUCUGAUGUUAGCGGCGGACGGGUGAGUAACACGUGGAUAACCUACCUAUAAGACUGGGAUAACUUCGGGAAACCGGAGCUAAUACCGGAUAAUAUUUUGAACCGCAUGGUUCAAAAGUGAAAGACGGUCUUGCUGUCACUUAUAGAUGGAUCCGCGCUGCAUUAGCUAGUUGGUAAGGUAACGGCUUACCAAGGCAACGAUGCAUAGCCGACCUGAGAGGGUGAUCGGCCACACUGGAACUGCGACACGGUCCAGACUCCUACGGGAGGCAGCAGGGAAUCUUCCGCAAUGGGCAAAAGCCUGACGGAGCAAAGCCGCGUGAGUGAUGAAGGUCUUCGGAUCGUAAAACUCUGUUAUUAGGGAAGAACAUAUGUGUAAGUAACUGUGCACAUCUUGACGGUACCUAAUCAGAAAGCCACGGCUAACUACGUG